RNAcentral lists this long non-coding RNA (1209 nucleotides) under Macaca mulatta (Rhesus monkey). RNAcentral's name for it is "lncRNA (ENSMMUG00000051070.1)". Lineage: Eukaryota; Metazoa; Chordata; Mammalia; Primates; Cercopithecidae. The record is from RNAcentral.
GUGAGAGGCAGGCGGGUGGGGGGGUGGGGGUGAAGGGAAGGUACAGGCGGGGUGGAUGGGCCCGGGGUGGGGGUGAAGGGAAGGUACAGGCAGGGUGGAUGGGCCCGGGGUGGGGGUGGAGUGGGGAUACUGCAGCUGAGAAGCCUCGUGACACCCGGCAGAGCUGGGGAUAUGAGAUAGGAUGGGUGGGGGCUCUGCCCUGCAUCGGCCCCUCCUUGCCUUCCUGCAACGCUUCUGGGAAUGGGUGCAGCCCCAGGACAGUGGGUGCAGGAGAGGCUGAGGCCAUGUAGCCCCAUCCUUGGAAGUGAGACGGGUGCUGGGGAACUGCCCACACUCUCUCCUUCUCCAGGAAGUCAGAGCACCUCUGGAUCCAUUCCCCUCCCUCAGUAGCCUCUCCCCUUGCCUGGCUGAGCCCUCUCAUGGGCAAGGGAACCAGCCUCGCCCCUGGCCUCCCUGCCUCCACUCUGCGGCUCCCAAGGGAGCCCUCAGAAGCACAGAUUGGGAGAGCUCACAGUUCCUGAGCUCACACUCCAUGCCAGACUCUCUCACAUCUGCUCGCGCCAGGGGUUAUUAGACCAGAUUGCCAACGAGGUUGCAGGGCCCAAUGACUUCCCCUCAAGUCACAUGGCUUGGGAGGGCAGAGCAGGGAUGAGUCCCUGGAGGCAACUCCAGAUCCAGUACUGUUACCGCGUGCUGGGUGGGUAGCGAGCGCUCUUGGUUGAGCCCUGCAGGCCAGCCACCCCAGGUCCCACUGCUGCAGCCCCUGACCAAUUCUCCCUGACAUGACGCAGACUGUCCAGGAACCCAGUUCCCUCUUCCCGUCCCCCGUCCUCCCGAGCCCACUCACCCUGCUGGUGGACCCUGCUCUCCAGCCUUUGCCUGAGCCAUUUCCUCCCUCUCCAUGCUGCCUCCUCCAUUUCACAAUUCUGGACUGAAGACCCCGCCCAAAUGCCAGCUCAUUCAGGCACGCAGAAAAGACUUUUCGCUUGGAAUCCUUCCGAUGCAGAUGUGUGAAGACUCUGGUAGCCACAUCUCGAGGACUGAGCAUCUUCUAUUGAUUGGAAAAACACACACAGCACCAGUGAGUUUGCAGAGCACACGCCGCAUUUUUCAGGGUUUGGGCAGGCGGAAAGCCAGCCGCGGGGCCUCAGCGCCCCCUGGGAGCCAUAGCCGGUAGUGCGCCCUGACGGAGCAGAAGGAGCCCAGCAG